Molecule: non-coding RNA, 975 nt
Organism: Labrus bergylta (ballan wrasse)
Lineage: Eukaryota; Metazoa; Chordata; Actinopteri; Labriformes; Labridae
Source: RefSeq, a predicted model, not a curated record
CAUGCACUCACAGGAUGGACGUGGUCUCGCCUCACUGCUGUCGCACGCUUCAGACCUUCAUCAUCCUUGUCCUGUCAGGUCUUCACGUGUCCUCAGUUUCCUCUUUUAAAGUGACGGAGGGGGGCGUGGCUUCUCUGUCCUGUCAGUACUCCGUGAAGCGUUUCGGUCUGAGUCGGGUGUGUUGGGGUCGAGGUUGCGGGACCUUCUGGUGCAGCAACAUCCUGGUGCAGACGGACGAGAACGGCGUCAUCUCCAAGGUGGAGGACCGGUACAGGCUGACCGGGGACGUCCUUGACGGACAGAUGGAUCUUGACAUCGUGAACGUGAGGCGGACGGACAGCGGGCCGUACUGCUGCAGGGUGGACAUCGACGGGAUCUUCAACGACAAGAAGUCCAUCAUGAACCUGCGAGUGGUGAAAGCUCUGGUCACAAGUUCUCCUCCAACGACUACCACGACACCAACAACGAAUCAAGUAACAGAGCCGUCGUCCUCCACAGUAAACUGGAGAUCCCUGCUGUCGUCUCAGCUCGACCUGCUGAGGAAGAACUCCACCCUGCUGCGCCCCGACACCAUCACCGGGGAGGACUCUCUGCCCUCUCUCUCUCUUCAGAUCAAUGUUCCCGUCCUCUCUCUCUCCCUCACUGUGAUGUCCAUCGUGGCCGGAGUUUUCCUCUUUCUGGCCUUCAAACGUACAUUAUCGCUCUCUCUCUAUCUGUCUCUCUUUGACAAAUACUCUGCUUUAUAUCUUCUUCAUAGAGGACAUGCUGCCUGGAGGAUGAGGAGAGAGCUCUCUCCUCAUCCUCCAGGCAGCAGUAUUCCACUAAAAUGGUCUUAUUUGAGUGACUUUCUGAUGUAGCCCUUGUGUUUUUCUGCAGGUGGAAUCUACAACAGAGCCCUGAAGGCCGACUGUUUCUCGUCUGAAGAGCCGCCUCACAUCAUCUAUGAGAUCCGGAUGAGACGGCCAGUCCAGGAGA